CGCAAUGGAGCUGGAUCUGGUUUGUAUGGACGAUAUUCUCUGCUCAGUGCAGGAGAAAAUUUCACUCCAAAGCGUUCAUGAAACAAGUCAACUGCAUCUUUGACAUUUCUAGUGAUUAAUCCCCUUCUAAUAUUCCUAGAAUCAAGAAAACUACAAAGUUCAGCAGCACCAGGCAUAAUCUGGAGUCGAUCAAGACCCUGUUUUUCAUAAUCAGCAAUAACCUCAUAUGCCCUACGUUGCUUAUCAGGGCUCCAACUUUCAAUGUGG
Molecule: unclassified non-coding RNA, 267 nt
Filed under: Hevea brasiliensis (rubber tree)
Lineage: Eukaryota; Viridiplantae; Streptophyta; Magnoliopsida; Malpighiales; Euphorbiaceae
Source: RNAcentral